GUUCCUGGCUCAGGAUGAACGCUGGCGGCGUGCUUAACACAUGCAAGUCGAACGGAACUCCUAUGAACGAGGUUUCGGCCAAGUGAAUAGGAUGUUUAGUGGCGGACGGGUGAGUAACGCGUGAGUAACCUGCCUUGGAGUGGGGAAUAACACAGUGAAAAUUGUGCUAAUACCGCAUAAUGCAUUUAGGUCGCAUGACUUUGAAUGCCAAAGAUUUAUCGCUCUGAGAUGGACUCGCG
Molecule: ribosomal RNA, 239 nt
Filed under: uncultured bacterium
Lineage: Bacteria
Description: partial 16S ribosomal RNA
Rfam family: Bacterial small subunit ribosomal RNA
Source: RNAcentral